This 468-nucleotide ribosomal RNA is filed under the name uncultured bacterium. RNAcentral describes it as "partial 16S ribosomal RNA". It matches the Rfam family "Bacterial small subunit ribosomal RNA", at positions 28 to 507 of the family's 1533-position model. The record is from RNAcentral.
GACGAACGCUGGCGGCGUGCUUAACACAUGCAAGUCGAACGGAAAGGCCCUGCUUUUGUGGGGUGCUCGAGUGGCGAACGGGUGAGUAACACGUGAGUAACCUGCCCUUUACUUUGGGAUAACUUCAGGAAACUGUGGCUAAUACCGGAUAGGAGCUCCUGCUGCAUGGUGGGGGUUGGAAAGUUUCGGCGGUUGGGGAUGGACUCGCGGCUUAUCAGCUUGUUGGUGGGGUAGUGGCUUACCGAGGCUUUGACGGGUAGCCGGCCUGAGAGGGUGACCGGACACAUUGGGACUGAGAUACGGCCCAGACUCCUACGGGAGGCAGCAGUGGGGAAUAUUGCAAAAUGGGCGGAAGCCUGAUGCAGCAACGCCGCGUGCGGGAUGACGGCCUUCGGGUUGUAAACCGCUUUCGCCUGUGACGAAGCGUGAGUGACGGUAAUGGGUAAAGAAGCACCGGCUAACUACGUG